CUUCAACUUUGUACUUGUUUGGCUUUAUAAAUAUUUUGAUAUGAGAGUCACUGAUGAGUCUUAUGUAGACGAAACGCGCGUCUGGCGUACUAAAUUAUAAUCCUGGUACCUUUGAUAACUAUUUACACCACUGGGUCGAUGUCACUGCUGGUGGACGUUUCGUCCCCGAGGGUAUCACCAGCCCAGUAGUCAACACUUCGGUGUUGACAUGAAUAUCAAUAAUGUGGUCAUUUUUAUAAAUUUCCUGUUUACAAAACUUUAAAUUUUUCGAAAAACUAAGGAUUUUCUUAACCCAGGCAUAGAUUACCUUAGAUGUAUUUGGC
This 323-nucleotide long non-coding RNA is filed under the name Mytilus galloprovincialis (Mediterranean mussel). The record is from RNAcentral. Lineage: Eukaryota; Metazoa; Mollusca; Bivalvia; Mytilida; Mytilidae.